Molecule: long non-coding RNA, 717 nt
Filed under: Mus musculus (house mouse)
Lineage: Eukaryota; Metazoa; Chordata; Mammalia; Rodentia; Muridae
Description: predicted gene 10552
Source: RNAcentral
GAGGAAGCUUCUUCAGGCAGGACGAGUGAGGAGAAACUGAAAAAGUGCAUCCUGCUGGCAACACAGGAAGUGACUUGGCUGCCAGUGACCCUCAGGUGGCAAGUGAGGAGUGAAACCCCAGCUCUUGGCCCUCAGAGCUGCAUUUCAAAAUGCCCAAGCAAUAGGAACAGGAACCACACCCAAGUUCUGCAGCAGCAGUCUACACCAGAACUGAUGGACUGUGCCUUCUGCAAGGGAGAGUCCUCUAGAGGGCUUCAGAGUUGCCUGAAGAACCAGGAACAACUUGAAGAUAGAGAAGCAAACAGGACUCCCUGAGUUCUGUCCUCACAUGACCCAACUGCCUCUGGCUCUGGGAUUUGGAAGCUGUCCUUUAGAGUGAGCGUUAGAAAGAGAAGAGAGGUCAGAAGUCACAAUGAACCAGCCACUCCUACAGGAGCUCACAGGAAGUCCACACAGCACCAGACAAGCUCUGGGACAGAAGCAAGGAAAUGAAGCAGAGUGUGGAGUUAGGGCGACCAUAGAACUCUCUGACAGCUAGCCUACUGCAGAGAAGGCUGUGUAGUGGCUAUUCCUGGUUGUCAACUUGACAAUAUUUGGAAUGAACUACAAUCCGGAAUUGGAAGGCUCACCAGUGACCCUUAUCUGGAGGCUUGGAGAUCCUUAUCUGGAUCUUGGUUUGAAGAUCUUCAGCCAUAGUGGCUAUGGAUUCCAGAAGAU